GUAAAAUACAAUUUAAUAUUUUCUUGUUAAUUCAUGUAUGUUAGUCAAUAUUGGGGCUCUUGAAUGAAAUUCAUAACUUAAUUGGGGAUAGUUAUGAGAUUACCAACAUUCAUGUUUAUUAAUGUUUCUAGAUAAUCCGAGAAGACUUCUUAAGAAGUCUUUUGAGAGAAGACUUCCACGGAAGGCUUUUAUAUUAGUUUUUGCAAAUCUUUUAUAUUCAAGAGUGUUAAAUAACUUCAAGAUAUGUAUUUUAUCAUUCAAAAGUGUAAAGUAACAUCAACAAUAUCAAGUCAUGUGGCUUAAUGUGUCUUCUUAGAUCAUAAGAUAUACUUUUUUAACUUUUAUGAGAUUUAAAAUUUCAAUUUUUACUUACAAUUUAAGUUUUCUGCUUUAAUCAAAAUUUCCCGCUCAAA
This 413-nucleotide long non-coding RNA is filed under the name Brassica napus (rape). Its description in RNAcentral is "long non-coding RNA (BNAP_LNC017621)". Lineage: Eukaryota; Viridiplantae; Streptophyta; Magnoliopsida; Brassicales; Brassicaceae. The record is from RNAcentral.